RNAcentral lists this small RNA (775 nucleotides) under Histoplasma capsulatum var. duboisii H88. RNAcentral describes it as "Histoplasma capsulatum H88 hypothetical RNA". The record is from RNAcentral. Lineage: Eukaryota; Fungi; Ascomycota; Eurotiomycetes; Onygenales; Ajellomycetaceae.
AUUGUAACGGCCAGUUGCGGCGUAGUGUAGAAACCAUAUAAGCUAUAAAUCUAAUUCCAUUAUAAACUAUUUUUUGCAUAUAUUAAAUAUAUAAAUGGUAUAUUUGAUAAUGUUAUAUAUACUGCAUUGCAAUACUAUUACUCCUUUGCGUAAUUGAAAAUUAGAACUUUCAAAGUUCAAUUAUCUUCUUUUUUUCAAUUUAUUGCUGUUGAUAUUCUUCUUAUGGGUUUUGAACCCACGCACCGUCCCCGCUACCUGGUGGCCGAAUGGGGGCUUAUAGAAUCGCGUACUAGUCAAAGGGUCAGUUAAGCUUUUUACAACUCAACUUUUUAAUGAGCUAUUUCUUCUCUUUCACUUAUCUAUUCAGAGCUUUUAUAAAUUUGAUGAGAGUCUUCUACUGUAGAUUCUAUUAUUAAGUCUUCUCAAACUAUUUAUACAGUAAAGAUAGUAGUGAGAUUAUUUACACCGACUUCUUUGAGAAUAGAAGAAGAUAUUUAUAACAGUCUAUCUCUGUCUCUUAUCAGUUUUUUCAGUGAUAAAAUUUGUCAGAGAUUUCAGCUUCAGUGAUCUGAUAAAGACUAUAUUGAUAUUUUUGAUCGGAUAGAAGAAUAUUGAGACACUCAACUGUGUAAUAAAACAUGUGUAAAGAGGCUGCAGAGGAUAUAUAAUGAUUUUGAACAAGUUACAGAGUUGAAAAUAUCUGAAAAAUAGUAGGAAAUGUGGAAAAUUCAAUGCACCUCUUUGUUCGUGGUAGUGUUCUUUUUUUCGCGGGUCG